RNAcentral lists this ribosomal RNA (253 nucleotides) under uncultured bacterium. RNAcentral's name for it is "partial 16S ribosomal RNA". It matches the Rfam family "Bacterial small subunit ribosomal RNA", at positions 524 to 776 of the family's 1533-position model. The record is from RNAcentral.
UACGGAGGGUGCAAACGUUGCUCGGAAUCAUUGGGCGUAAAGCGCACGUAGGCGGCCUGAUAGGUCGGGUGUGAAAGCCCUGGGCUCAACCCAGGAAGUGCACUCGAAACUGUCAGGCUUGAAUAUGGAAGAGGGUCGCGGAAUUCCCGGUGUAGAGGUGAAAUUCGUAGAUAUCGGGAGGAACACCAGUGGCGAAGGCGGCGACCUGGGCCAAUAUUGACGCUGAGGUGCGAAAGCGUGGGGAGCAAACAGG